RNAcentral lists this transfer RNA (77 nucleotides) under Candidatus Staskawiczbacteria bacterium CG10_big_fil_rev_8_21_14_0_10_38_10. RNAcentral describes it as "tRNA-His". It matches the Rfam family "tRNA". Rfam says of the family: Transfer RNA (tRNA) molecules are approximately 80 nucleotides in length. Their secondary structure includes four short double-helical elements and three loops (D, anti-codon, and T loops). The record is from RNAcentral. Lineage: Bacteria; Candidatus Staskawicziibacteriota.
GUGGUCGUAGCUCAAUUGGUUAGAGCAUCGCGCUGUGGCCGCGAAGGUUGCGCGUUCGAGCCGCGUCGACCACCCCC